Long non-coding RNA from Bactrocera oleae (olive fruit fly), 1600 nucleotides. RefSeq lists it as uncharacterized. The record is from RefSeq and is a predicted model, not a curated record. Lineage: Eukaryota; Metazoa; Arthropoda; Insecta; Diptera; Tephritidae.
GCGCUUUGUAAAAACUCAUUACUUAAGAAAAGUAAAUUGCAAUUCUUCACAAUAUCUACCAGUUUUUUAACAAGUUCUGCGAUUUCCUAUUUCCGUUUGGCUUAAUUAUUUGUUUAUUGUUUUUUAAUUAAGACAACUACAAAGACAUUAAAAACAAAAGGAGAAUAGUUAUCACCGAAAGUCAUAAAAUAUGAUACUGGCUGCUAUAAGGAUCUCAAGUCGACAAUGUGUUGCGCAGGCGGGCGCGGGGGCCGAAAAUGGUAUGGCAUUAAAAGAAAACUGUGAAUCAUUGUUAUUUGCUGCGACUACAAAAUUUAAUUGUUUAAUGUUUUUUUUUUCAUUUGCGCUUGUUGUUGUUAUUUAUGUCAUUGCCUUGAGUUUGUAGUUGUGUUUGCUUUUAUUAUCGAUCUUGCUGUCCUGCCACAGCAGUGGUAAUUACAAAAGACCACUGCGCAGCUAACGUCUUUUGCAUUGUUGUUGUUUGCUGCAGCUGUUGUUUUUCUUAUUUUUGGUAUAGCUAAGCUGAAAGAAUUUUCGAAGAAACCGAAAAUCCGAAAACCAAGCACAAAUGACGAACACAUUGUCGUUAAAGUGCAGAUGAAGUGAAAAGACAAUGGCAGGAUAGCCAAGCCAUAAAAGAGAGGCAAGAAGACACACUUAAAAAUUUACUCACACAUACAUACAUAUAUGUGUGUGUUUUUGUAGUUAAAACAACAACAGCGCACAAACCAACUGCGAAGCUGCAGAACGCCAAAAAUUCAAUAAAGGUUUUUACCUGAGCCACCGUAGGUGAGAAACGCGACGAAAACGUAGUGUUGUGUAGAGCAAGAUAGUGAAGAAUGGCGUAGAUAUAAGAUUUGUGGUUAAAAGAAAUGCGCAUGUAUGCGUGUGAGUGACAAACGUUUUCGACAUAACAGUUGAAGUUGCCACACUCGGUCUCAAUGCUGCUGCUUAACAGCUGUGUGGAAGAUCGGGCGAAAUUCGCACAACAAAUUUGAGCUGUAUUUACGCUACUUGCCAACGUAUUUUUUGGAAUUUCGCCAAGUGGGUCGUAGUAACAAACACCAUACAGCCAGAUCAUACUGAGAUCACAACAACAAAAGCGAAAAAUAAACCAACAACAGUCUGUGCCUAAAAGAACACAUGUCGCCGCUGCCGAAAAGUUCCCCAAAAUCAAACCGGUUUGCAUUGUAGCAAAAAAAAUAAAAACACUACAACAAUAACAUCACGCGACACAAAAACCGAAACGAAGUUGAAAUGAAGUAAAAACGAAAUGAAAUGCCUACACAGAAGUUGAAAGCGAAGAAACAGGAAAAUCAGAAAUGUCGGGAAGCGAAGUAACAGUCGUACAUACUAUGUCUUGUUGUUGUUGUAUGUAUGUAUGCAUGUAUGCAUGUAUGCAUGUAUACAUGUUUAUAUGUAUGUAUAUCUGUAGCAUAAGUAAAAUGAAGACAGUUGUUGCGUAGCCUGAGCAUGCGCAAAGCCAGAAAACAAGCCAUACCAACUGUCUUCGGGCGCAACAGCGUUGUCUGCGCAUGAAAGCAAGCAACAAUAAGCAUAAGCAAAGCAGCAAAAUUAAAUAAAAAUAAUAAAAAUCAAA